Molecule: long non-coding RNA, 551 nt
Filed under: Rattus norvegicus (Norway rat)
Lineage: Eukaryota; Metazoa; Chordata; Mammalia; Rodentia; Muridae
Description: long non-coding RNA NONRATT015518
Source: RNAcentral
UGUGUGCCCAACUCCAAAGUGCCCUGAGCCAUGUCCUCCUCCUAAAUGCCCUGAGCCUUGUCCUCCUCCAAAGUGCCCAGAGUCUUGUCCUCCUCCGAAGUGUCCAGAACCUUGUCCUCCUCCCUCAUACCAACAGAAAUGCCCUCCUGUGCAACCUCCUCCAACCUGCCAGCAGAAGUGUCCACCAAAGAGCAAGUGAGGACUUCAGCACUCAUCAGGACAAGGGGAAGAGAAGAGAAUCUGUCUCAUGUACUUGCAAAGGAACACCUUCCUCUUCCCUCCAUAGUCUUUCAUGAAUGCAGAGGAAUCUUGUAAACUUUUCCCUCUCCAUGUGCCUGUGAUGACCCCUUACACAGUAGAUUUCCUGUUUUUGGUAUCAAGAGCCUGCUGAAAAUGAUCUAUCCUAAGUGAUUCAGUGUUCCAGAUACUCAGUGGGAAGUGUAGCUCUCAUCUAACCUGUGCACUUAGAAAAUGUUUCUCAAGAUGUCAGUCACCUUAGUUGUAGUGCUGCCACUGUGAUUCCUGAAUAAAGUACAAUCUGUUGAAUGGUA